AAACUUAAGGUGGUACCUAACACUACAGGGAGAUAACUCUGUUAGGUCAGCUAAACGUUUUAAUUACAUUGUGUUGUAAAAGGAAUAUUAAGCUUCUCAAUGAUCAAAAUUGGUGUUUGUCAAACUGCUAUAUAACCAGUGUAAUUUUUCUGACAAAACGGUUGGUUAAAAUUUUUUGAAAUUUUUAUAUUUUUGUUACAGGGUCAAAGUAAGUACUUUGACAAAAUUUUAUGAAAAUUAAACGAGCCAAAUUAAUUUUAGUGCAAGUGUUGGGUACCACCUUAAUUUUAAGUUAA
This 296-nucleotide long non-coding RNA is filed under the name Mytilus galloprovincialis (Mediterranean mussel). The record is from RNAcentral. Lineage: Eukaryota; Metazoa; Mollusca; Bivalvia; Mytilida; Mytilidae.